UACGAAGGGGGCUAGCGUUGCUCGGAAUCACUGGGCGUAAAGCGCACGUAGGCGGCUUUUUAAGUCAGGGGUGAAAUCCUGGAGCUCAACUCCAGAACUGCCUUUGAUACUGAGAAGCUCGAGUCCGGGAGAGGUGAAUGGAACUGCGAGUGUAGAGGUGAAAUUCGUAGAUAUUCGCAAGAACACCAGUGGCGAAGGCGGCUCACUGGCCCGGUACUGACGCUGAGGUGCGAAAGCGUGGGGAGCAAACAGG
RNAcentral lists this ribosomal RNA (253 nucleotides) under uncultured bacterium. RNAcentral's name for it is "partial 16S ribosomal RNA". It matches the Rfam family "Bacterial small subunit ribosomal RNA", at positions 524 to 776 of the family's 1533-position model. The record is from RNAcentral.